UUGCAGAUUUGUAUAUUUUGUAACAUUUUUUGUGAUUACAACACGUCAAAAGAAUGAGAAAGGCAUUUUCUUGAUUCUUUAUGACCACUCAACUUUUGAAAAAUCAUAAGAGGCGGUGAGAACUUUAGGUCAUUCGUGGAAAUCGAGUCACUCUUCCCAUUAGGAUUAGAUAAACACAUCUCUUCCUCUUUUCUGUUAUUCAUCAUCCCAAUUUUCAGAUCUCAAAAAGAACUCUUACAAUAUUGCAAGAGAUAGAUUCAUAUGGAUGAUCCUCAGGUUCCUCCAGUUCAUAUAGAUGAUCCUCAGUUCAUACUAUGUGAAAUUUUCCAUUUGGAGCAAGAAAAGUUGUCAGCCUUUACCAGGAAUAUCCCAGCUAUGCCUCUACGAAUCGUAGCUCACACUGCUUCGUCGAAGAUCCGAUGGCAAGAAUGGAGCUGUACUUUAGUCCACAUGAGAACGGAGAAUAUACUACUUGUGAACCAUUGAUCAUAUGUCUAUGUGUGUGACUCGCAUAGUGUGAGUAUGUUCCACCAUUAUUUCAUUAAUAAAAUUUUUGGUUAUAGCCACAGAAAUUACCACAAAAUUUUUGUAGCAAUUUUGAAAGCCACAAAAAAAACCAUGAAAAGUCACAAUGUGAAAAAUCUAAA
Long non-coding RNA from Brassica napus (rape), 647 nucleotides. RefSeq lists it as uncharacterized. NCBI's taxonomy places the organism in Eukaryota, Viridiplantae, Streptophyta, Magnoliopsida, Brassicales, Brassicaceae. The record is from RefSeq and is a predicted model, not a curated record. The transcript has 2 exons.